RNAcentral lists this small nuclear RNA (296 nucleotides) under Notechis scutatus (mainland tiger snake). RNAcentral's name for it is "7SK RNA (ENSNSUG00000006190.1)". It matches the Rfam family "7SK RNA". Rfam says of the family: 7SK was discovered as an abundant small nuclear RNA in the mid-70s but a possible function has only recently been suggested. Lineage: Eukaryota; Metazoa; Chordata; Lepidosauria; Squamata; Elapidae. The record is from Rfam by way of RNAcentral.
AGAUGUGAGGGCGAUCUGGCUGCGACAUCUGUUACCCCAUUGAUUGCCAGGGUUGAUUCGGCUGAUCUGUCUGGCUAGGCAGGUGUCCCUUUCCUCCCUCACCGCUCCAUGUGCGUCCCCCCCGAAGCUGCGCACUCAGUGGAAGAGGACGACCAUCCCAGAUAGAAAGAGUGUAUUGAUCUUCGGUCAAAGGUAUACGAUAGCUGCGCUCCCCUGCUAGAACCUCCAAACAAUAAAUCCAGUAUACUCUGUACUCUAACCAGAGGUGUCAAACUCAAGGCCCAUGGAGCUGGCCU